ACAAGUGGCGGACGGGUGAGUAACGCGUGGGAAUCUGCCUACUAGCGGGGGAUAGCCCGGAGAAAUCCGGAUUAAUACCGCAUACGCCCUACGGGGGAAAGCUGGGGAUCUUCGGACCUGGCACUAGUAGAUGAGCCCGCGUUGGAUUAGCUUGUUGGUGGGGUAAAGGCCUACCAAGGCAACGAUCCAUAGCUGUUCUGAGAGGAAGAUCAGCCACACUGGGACUGAGACACGGCCCAG
Molecule: ribosomal RNA, 240 nt
Filed under: uncultured bacterium
Lineage: Bacteria
Description: partial 16S ribosomal RNA
Rfam family: Bacterial small subunit ribosomal RNA
Source: RNAcentral